This 414-nucleotide ribosomal RNA is filed under the name uncultured bacterium. RNAcentral describes it as "bacterial SSU rRNA". It matches the Rfam family "Bacterial small subunit ribosomal RNA", at positions 505 to 916 of the family's 1533-position model. The record is from RNAcentral.
GUGUCAGCCGCCGCGGUAAUACGUAGGGUGCAAGCGUUAUCCGGAAUUAUUGGGCGUAAAGGGCUCGUAGGCGGUUCGUCGCGUCCGGUGUGAAAGUCCAUCGCUUAACGGUGGAUCCGCGCCGGGUACGGGCGGGCUUGAGUGCGGUAGGGGAGACUGGAAUUCCCGGUGUAACGGUGGAAUGUGUAGAUAUCGGGAAGAACACCAAUGGCGAAGGCAGGUCUCUGGGCCGUCACUGACGCUGAGGAGCGAAAGCGUGGGGAGCGAACAGGAUUAGAUACCCUGGUAGUCCACGCCGUAAACGGUGGAUGCUGGAUGUGGGGACCAUUCCACGGUCUCCGUGUCGGAGCCAACGCGUUAAGCAUCCCGCCUGGGGAGUACGGCCGCAAGGCUAAAACUCAAAUGAAUUGACGG